Molecule: long non-coding RNA, 353 nt
Filed under: Vombatus ursinus (common wombat)
Lineage: Eukaryota; Metazoa; Chordata; Mammalia; Diprotodontia; Vombatidae
Description: lncRNA (ENSVURG00010018994.1)
Source: RNAcentral
UUCUAGCCCCCAGACCUACCCAAGAGGAGGCGGGCUAAGGUGAGUCGUAUGGCCCCGCCCCGCAAUUGACGGGCGCGUCUGUAGAUUCUCGUUAACGAUUGGCUGCGAGCGAUGCGUCCUGAUGUAAUGACCAGAAGCCCUCGGAGCCCUAGCACGCAGGCGCAGGUAGCGGUAGCUCGGAAGUCCGGUGUGAGUCACCUCGGUUGAAGAGGGUGUAGAAACAACUCUCCAGGUCAUCACAGGUGGUCAUGGACUGGAGUCUUUGGACAGCCUUCUUUCCUCCCCAUCCCAUUAACUGUGGGGUAAAAUGGUUUAAAAAACAUUAUACAAAGGCUAAUCAUUUUUAAAAUGUG